This 253-nucleotide ribosomal RNA is filed under the name uncultured bacterium. Its description in RNAcentral is "partial 16S ribosomal RNA". It matches the Rfam family "Bacterial small subunit ribosomal RNA", at positions 524 to 776 of the family's 1533-position model. The record is from RNAcentral.
UACGGAGGGUGCAAACGUUGCUCGGAAUCAUUGGGCGUAAAGCGCACGUAGGCGGUCCGGCAAGUCGGGUGUGAAAGCCCUCGGCUUAACCGAGGAAGUGCAUUCGAAACUACCGGACUUGAAUACUGGAGAGGGUCGCGGAAUUCCCGGUGUAGAGGUGAAAUUCGUAGAUAUUCGGAAGAACACCAGUGGCGAAGGCGACACACUGGCUCACUACUGACGCUGAGGCGCGAAAGCGUGGGGAGCAAACAGG